Molecule: long non-coding RNA, 2464 nt
Filed under: Homo sapiens (human)
Lineage: Eukaryota; Metazoa; Chordata; Mammalia; Primates; Hominidae
Description: HSALNT0360913
Source: RNAcentral
UUGCUGUGAUCACACCACUGCACUACAGCCUAGGCAACCCAGCCAGACCCUGUCUCAAAAAAAUGUAUAACUAUUUAUAGAAGUGUGCAAGCGUGAAAGCGCUGGCUCCCAGGACAGCCACGAAGCCACGGGUCGUUGACACAGCCGAGUGGGCGCCAUUGCCGGAGCGGGAACCCGCCUGAGGGUCUUCACGGGGUCUGAGUGGGCGCCAUUGCCGGAGCCGGAACCCGCCUGAGGGUCUUCACGGGGUCUGAGUGGGCGCCAUUGCCGGAGCGGGAACCCGCCUGAGGGUCUUCACGGGGUCUGAGUGGGCGCCAUUGCCGGAGCCGGAACCCGCCUGAGGGUCUUCACGGGGUCUGAGUGGGCGCCAUUGCCGGAUCCGGAACCCCGCCUGAGGGUCGUCACGGGGUCUGAGUGGGCGCCAUUGCCGGAUCCGGAACCCGCCUGAGGGUCUUCGCGGGGUCUGAGUGGGCGCCAUUGCCGGAUCCGGAACCCCGCCUGAGGGUCUUCGCGGGGUCUGAGUGGGCGCCAUUGCCGGAUCCGGAACCCCGCCUGAGGGUCUUCACGGGGUCUGAGUGGGCGCCAUUGCCGGAGCGGGAACCCGCCUGAGGGUCUUCACGGGGUCUGAGUGGGCGCCAUUGCCGGAGCCGGAACCCGCCUGAGGGUCUUCGCGGGGUCUGAGUGGGCGCCAUUGCCGGAGCGGGAAUCCCACCUGAGGGUCUUCACGGGGUCUGAGAGGGCGCCAUUGCCGGAGCCGGAACCCGCCUGAGGGUCGUCACGGGGUCUGAGUGGGCGCCAUUGCCGGAUCCGGAACCCCGCCUGAGGGUCUUCACGGGGUCUGAGUGGGCGCCAUUGCCGGAUCCGGAACCCCGCCUGAGGGUCUUCACGGGGUCUGAGUGGGCGCCAUUGCCGGAUCCGGAACCCGCCUGAGGGUCUUCGCGGGGUCUGAGUGGGCGGCAUUGCCGGAUCCGGAACCCCGCCUGAGGGUCUUCGCGGGGUCUGAGUGGGCGCCAUUGCCGGAUCCGGAACCCCGCCUGAGGGUCUUCACGGGGUCUGAGUGGGCGCCAUUGCCGGAGCGGGAACCCGCCUGAGGGUCUUCACGGGGUCUGAGUGGGCGCCAUUGCCGGAGCCGGAACCCGCCUGAGGGUCUUCGCGGGGUCUGAGUGGGCGCCAUUGCCGGAGCGGGAAUCCCACCUGAGGGUCUUCACGGGGUCUGAGAGGGCGCCAUUGCCGGAGCCGGAACCCGCCUGAGGGUCGUCACGGGGUCUGAGUGGGCGCCAUUGCUGGAUCCGGAACCCCUCCUGAGGGUCUUCACGGGGUCUGAGUGGGCGCCAUUGCCGGAUCCGGAACCCGCCUGAGGGUCUUCACGGGGUCUGAGUGGGCGCCAUUGCCGGAUCCGGAACCCCGCCUGAGGGUCUUCGCGGGGUCUGAGUGGGCGCCAUUGCCGGAGCGGGAACCCGCCUGAGGGUCUUCACGGGGUCUGAGUGGGCGCCAUUGCCGGAUCCGGAACCCCUCCUGAGGGUCUUCACGGGGUCUGAGUGGGCGCCAUUGCCGGAUCCGGAACCCGCCUGAGGGUCUUCACGGGGUCUGAGUGGGCGCCAUUGCCGGAUCCGGAACCCCGCCUGAGGGUCUUCGCGGGGUCUGAGUGGGCGCCAUUGCCGGAUCCGGAACCCGCCUGAGGGUCUUCACGGGGUCUGAGUGGGCGCCAUUGCCGGAUCCGGAACCCCGCCUGAGGGUCUUCACAGCAUCUGAGUGGGCGCCAUUGCCGGAGCCGGAACCCGCCUGAGGGUCUUCGCGGGGUCUGAGUGGGCGCCAUUGCCGGAGCGGGAAUCCCGCCUGAGGGUCUUCACGGGGUCUGAGUGGGCGCCAUUGCCGGAGCGGGAAUCCCGCCUGAGGGUCUUCACGGGGUCUGAGGGGAAAGCAGGGCCGGGGUGGGCGUGUGGAAGGUUUUGGGGUGUGGCUUCAGGUGAGUCUUCAGGAGGCUUCGUUAGGAUUGGGCAUGUUUGGGACGGAAGUGGUUCGGGACUGAUGGACAUAAGAAGGGUUUGGAGUGAGUCUGGAGACUGAGCCCAGCUGUGCUGUCCGCUCACAGGUCCUAGGCAACGACUGUCAGGAAGUUCCCAAAAUAAGUCACUCACAACCUCAUCGUCCUGGUUUGGACCUUUUGUCAAUAAAGCCACUAUGAGGAUCUGUGUGCCAAUCUUCUUGUGGAGAACUUUUUAUUGAGGAGUGGAACUGCCAGUUCCCAUGCUGGCAAGGCGAACCCAUGGGGCGGUUACAGUGUCUGCAACGCAGACACAAGCGACAGAGACUUGAUCAGAAUAUACAAGGAACUCUGCAAGUCAGCGAUGGUAAGAAGCAGGGCAGCUGGGCCUCCUACGCCUGCCUCGCCGUUCGGUCCCCCGGACACCUCUGGGCUUAGGACUCAGGGGAACAGAUUCCCAGAAGCAGGUUCCCCGCCGCG